ACAGAGGUGGCAAGCGUUGUUCGGAAUUACUGGGCGUAAAGGGCGCGUAGGCGGUCCUACAAGUCCCGCGUGAAAGCCCCCGGCUCAACUGGGGAAUGGCGCGGGAAACUGUAGGGCUUGAGUUCGGGAGAGGGAAGCGGAAUUCCGGGUGUAGCGGUGAAAUGCGUAGAUAUCCGGAGGAACACCGGUGGCGAAGGCGGCUUCCUGGACCGACACUGACGCUGAGGCGCGAAAGCUAGGGGAGCAAACGGGAUUAGAUACCCCGGUAGUCCUAGCUGUAAACGAUGAGUGCUGGGUGUAGGGGGUAUCAACCCCCCCUGUGCCGAAGCUAACGCAUUAAGCACUCCGCCUGGGGAGUACGGUCGCAAGGCUG
RNAcentral lists this ribosomal RNA (373 nucleotides) under uncultured bacterium. RNAcentral describes it as "bacterial SSU rRNA". It matches the Rfam family "Bacterial small subunit ribosomal RNA", at positions 525 to 896 of the family's 1533-position model. The record is from RNAcentral.